Molecule: ribosomal RNA, 3210 nt
Filed under: Lepeophtheirus salmonis (salmon louse)
Lineage: Eukaryota; Metazoa; Arthropoda; Copepoda; Siphonostomatoida; Caligidae
Description: eukaryotic LSU rRNA
Rfam family: Eukaryotic large subunit ribosomal RNA (bases 2033-3210)
Source: RNAcentral
AGAAGGACAGUUAUUGGGUCCAACUUCUUUUAGGCUUACAGGUGAAAUCAGAGUCGUGGAAAUACAGGGAACACAGCUUUGUAAUUUUGAAUGGUGCCUAAUGUAUCUUCUUCAGAUCUGUUUAUAUUGGAACGGCUCUCAGCCAGGUGGUAUCAAGUCCGGAGUUUCUCUCUUAUUUUGGCCACAGAUCGAUCGUAACACCAGACUGUUGUGGUUCGUUGUCAUAGCCUUUUCUAUACCCUGGAGCACAACACUUAGGGGGCAUGAUUGGAAUUACAAAACGCAAUAAAGAUGGCGUCCAUAAAGAAACUAAUAGUUAUUAUGUAGUUAUUACUUAUUAUCUUACCAAACACGUUGCAUUGUUUUUUGUUUUUUUUCAAUAUACCCAUGUUGCAAGCGUAUUUGAAUUCAUGUUUGCAAGUGCCCUGUCCUGCUUACAGGAGUCAUUGACUAAAUUCAAUAGAUCACCCUUUAUACAUAUAUUUUUUACGUGAGGUUUAAUCAAAAAAAGACAAAAGAAAUUUGGAACACAGUGUAUGUUUACACAUAACUUAAGAACAAUUCUUCACUAUAUGUGCAAAAAAGAUUUUUUUUAAAUUAUACUCCCAUCUACAAGCUUACAAAGCCCUUCAAAAUUAAUUAAUAAAAAUAUUAAAUGAGGACCAUUUGUGAAUAACUGUGUUAUCAAUUCUUUUGUUAAAAGCAUAUCUCAUUUCUUUUGGAGUAAUUGUUCAUACUUUACCAGUAUUUUAUUUAAUCUACAUUAACUAUUGUGAACAUUACUUGAUCAAAUAAAUCUUAGGUACUGUUAGCUGUAUAUUUGAUAUUAGUAGAAUAUGGUCGUGAAGAUGGGUGUACUUUUUGUGUCCAUAUACUUUUAGUAUUCGGGUGAUUUAUAGUCCAGAUUUAUUAUAUAACCAUGGAAAGUGGUUAAGGGUCCCAAAAUUUGAAACUCUUUCAUAAAACAACUUGUGAAUUGAGUAAAAAUCACUAAAUUGCUUUAACUAAAACUACAUUAAUAUUUGCUCCAGAAGGAUGGUGCUUGCUGUAGGUUUUUUGCAAUUUUAUUUCUCGCAUUAUUUAUGAUUAAUUUUAAUCAUUUGUUCUUUUCCAUCCCCAAAGACUGAAAUAUUAUUAUAAUAGAUUGUAUACAUUAAAUUUUUCCUUUGUCUUCUAUAUAAAACUUGCCACAAGACUUUCAUCAUUAUCAUGUUUUAUGCCAUCUAAUUGUUGUUACUAUAAUCAAGUAAUAUGAACAAGAAGACUAUUUAUUUUUAAGCUCGUAAGCAAUAAAUCUUUUUUCAAAGAAUUAGUAAGAUAUAGAACCAGCAGUCCUGUUUUAGCCAUAGUCUGGGAAGUUUGUAACGCUAUAAAUACUUUUUCCAUCAUGUUGGGAGACCCAAAUCUAAAUAACUCUCCACCUAGAAUCAUCCGUGGAGACUUUUAGAUGUAAAUCACACGUAAUAUUUUUCAUGGAUCUGAUGCUGUUGCAUCCACAGAAAAGAAAGUAUCAUUAUUUUGAAAUGACGGCUUACAAAAUUUCGUAAUUUUAGAAGAGCCAACUUGAUUAUUGAAAAAGUUAAUCACUUUUUUUAUGAAAAUGUUGUAUUCUCUUUGGUUUUCAUAUAUUAAUCCUCUUACGUUAUGUGUUUAAUAACCAUAAUGAUAAAUAAACUUUUCGAUCAAAUUAUCUACACUCUGCCUAGCAAUCAGCAGCUAGGUUUUAUCUGUGAAGCCCUCCCUCUAAUAAUGCAUUGUUUUAUAGCAGUAGUUUUGUUAUCCCAGUUUAAAAACGUGGCUUGUUUCGUAUCAUUAUUAAGUCGAAUUUUCGCUUUUUAUAUAUUUAUUAAAUAUUGUCUGAGUUAAUUACUUUUUUGUUUGAUUGUAGUUAAAUUGCGAAGAGACAAUAAUUGUUAAGAUAUGGGUGGAGGAUGCGAGCUAGAGAACAACAACCCCUGACGGGAUUUAUAAUAUUCUUACAAGCGUUUGUGUAUGAUAACUGCCCUUCAAAUCAAUGCUUAGAUUCCUACUCAUUUAAUACAGUAAAAUUUGGCACAGAAAUGUUUUAUACCUUACCCACCUUCCGUUCAACUGGUCUCGUUUCAUCAAUCUACUUCAUAUCAUUGCCUCGUUAUCUAAUUCGUGACGUGCAUGAAUGAAUUAACGAGAUUUGAUCGGCCCUUCAUCAAUCUACUUCAUAUCAUUGCCUUGUUAUCUAAUUCGUGACGUGCAUGAAUGAAUUAACGAGAUUUGAUCGGCCCUUUUCUACUAUCGAGCGAAACUGCAGCCAUAGGAACGGACUAGGAAAGAUGAGCAGGGAAAAAAUAUCAUGUUGAGUUUUACUCUAGUCUCUUUUUUUGGCCGAGCAUCUUGGGCGUAGAAUAAGAAGAAGAUGUUAACAUUGCAAGUGAAAUACUUAUACUAAGAUUAAUACUCCCCUUACUCGGUUAAGCAGGAUUAUCUUGAUUUCAAGAUUUUUUCCUGCAUCGAUCAUCAAAUAUUUGUUCUUCAUUGAGACCUGCUUCGAGGACAUUGUGAGGCUGGGGUUUUACUGGGGCUGUACAUCUGUCAAAUGAUAACGCAUAUUUCCUAAUACCAGGUCAUUGAGGACGAAAACCUCAUGUAAAGCAAUAGGGCAAAUGGUGGCUUGACCUCUUCAUUCAGUACAGGGNGGGGGGGGGGGAGCAGAGACGCCGUCCUAUUGAUUUUCUUUAUUUAAGAGCUUUAAGAAAGAGAUGCCAGAAAAAUUACCACAGCGAUAACUGGCAUGUAGCGGCCAAGCGGUCAUAGUGACAUCGCUUUUUGAUCCUUUGAUCUCAUCUCUUCCUAUAAUUUCGAAACAGAAUUGGCAAUGCGUCAGAUUGUUCACCCUUUAAUAGGGAACGUGAGCUGGAUUCAGACCGUUGUGAGACAGGUUAGUUUUACCUUACUCACGACUCGUCGUUGCGAUAGUAAUCCUACUCAGUACCAGAGGAACAGCAGGUUCGGAUAUUUGGUAUUAGUACUUGACUCAUCAGUUAGUGUUGAGAAGCUAUCAUCUCUGAGAUUAUGUCUGAAUACGUCUUAGGCAUAAUCUCAUCAAGAUAUGUCAAUGAUAUCGUUAGUUCGAUCAUUUCAGUUGGAGGAAAAAUAUCAAGCUUGUUCUUGCUUCAAAAUCCCUCAUUAAUGGGAGGAUUGGUUUGUAGAAUUCAACACUUUAUUAUAUUAGCU